GAUGAAGAACGUAGCGAAAUGCGAUAAGUAAUGUGAAUUGCAGAAUUCAGUGAAUCAUCGAAUCUUUGAACGCACAUUGCGCCCGUCAGUAUUCUGGCGGGCAUGCCUGUUCGAGCGUCAUUACGCCCCUCAAGUCCCCUGUGGAAUUGGUGUUGGGGAUCGGCGAGGCUGGUUUUCCAGCACAGCCGUCCCUUAAAUUAAUUGGCGGUCUCGCCGUGGCCCUCCUCUGCGCAGUAGUAAAACACUCGCAACAGGAGCCCGGCGCGGUCCACUGCCGUAAAACCCCCCAACUUUUUAUAGUUGACCUCGAAUCAGGUAGGACUACCCGCUGAACUUAAGCAUAUCAAUAAGCGGAGGA
Molecule: unclassified non-coding RNA, 358 nt
Filed under: soil metagenome
Description: partial contains 5.8S ribosomal RNA, internal transcribed spacer 2, and large subunit ribosomal RNA
Rfam family: 5.8S ribosomal RNA (bases 1-120)
Source: RNAcentral